UGUAUAAUGGGUCAGCGACUUAUAUUCUGUAGCAAGGUUAACCGAAUAGGGGAGCCGAAGGGAAACCGAGUCUUAACUGGGCGUUAAGUUGCAGGGUAUAGACCCGAAACCCGGUGAUCUAGCCAUGGGCAGGUUGAAGGUUGGGUAACACUAACUGGAGGACCGAACCGACUAAUGUUGAAAAAUUAGCGGAUGACUUGUGGCUGGGGGUGAAAGGCCAAUCAAACCGGGAGAUAGCUGGUUCUCCCCGAAAGCUAUUUAGGUAGCGCCUCGUGAAUUCAUCUCCGGGGGUAGAGCACUGUUUCGGCAAGGGGGUCAUCCCGACUUACCAACCCGAUGCAAACUGCGAAUACCGGAGAAUGUUAUCACGGGAGACACACGGCGGGUGCUAACGUCCGUCGUGAAGAGGGAAACAACCCAGACCGCCAGCUAAGGUCCCAAAGUCAUGGUUAAGUGGGAAACGAUGUGGGAAGGCCCAGACAGCCAGGAUGUUGGCUUAGAAGCAGCCAUCAUUUAAAGAAAGCGUAAUAGCUCACUGGUCGAGUCGGCCUGCGCGGAAGAUGUAACGGGGCUAAACCAUGCACCGAAGCUGCGGCAGCGACGCUUAUGCGUUGUUGGGUAGGGGAGCGUUCUGUAAGCCUGCGAAGGUG
RNAcentral lists this ribosomal RNA (650 nucleotides) under Escherichia coli. RNAcentral's name for it is "partial 23S ribosomal RNA". It matches the Rfam family "Bacterial large subunit ribosomal RNA", at positions 609 to 1258 of the family's 2925-position model. The record is from RNAcentral. Lineage: Bacteria; Pseudomonadati; Pseudomonadota; Gammaproteobacteria; Enterobacterales; Enterobacteriaceae.